UACGUGCCAGUCGACUUUUUGGCAAAAUACUGCAUCUUCAGCCAGGAGAAGUUGGCGAAGUACAAAAGGGCUUUUGAAGCGCUGCAGGGAUGCCCUGUACAUCACUGUGCUCCUGUGGGUGUUGCACAAAAGGGACCUUGGAUCUGGCCCUCUCUGUCUGUGCCGUACAGUCUCCUCUCUGAGCUGCUCAGGCAGGUUUUCAAAACCAUGAUUUCUUUGCAGGCAGCAUACAAAAACAGACGGCCGCUCUUCUGCGUUUGGACAAUAGCUGCAUAAAUGUCGUUCCCUUGGAACACGGUUUAAUAACGUUAUUAAUACAUUAACAAAGUUUCUAUAAAGUAAGACACGUCGGUGCUAAAGUACAGCUGGAGGGAGUCCAAGGCCUCGACAAAAGCACGGACCGAAAUGGCAGCGGGAAAGUAACGCCGACCGCACGUCUAAACACCAAGAGGUAAAAGCAUCGUGUAUUAAAAAACGUAUCAAGAUAUACACAUUUUAAACCAUUUGUACAAAACCUCUAUAAAUCUCUCUCUCUCUUAUGUACAAAAAUAGCUUAAUAUAUCCCCAAACUGGUCAGGGAGGAUACAAAUAGAUUUUCU
RNAcentral lists this long non-coding RNA (599 nucleotides) under Pavo cristatus (Indian peafowl). RNAcentral's name for it is "lncRNA (ENSPSTG00000000303.1)". The record is from RNAcentral. Lineage: Eukaryota; Metazoa; Chordata; Aves; Galliformes; Phasianidae.